UACAGAGGUGGCGAGCGUUGUUCGGAUUUACUGGGCGUAAAGGGUGCGUAGGUGGCUUUGUGUGUCGGGCGUGAAAGCCCACCGCUCAACGGUGGAACGGCGUCCGAAACUACAAAGCUUGAGUGCAGGAGAGGAGAGCGGAAUACUUGGUGUAGCGGUGGAAUGCGUUGAGAUCAAGUAGAACACCGGUGGCGUAGGCGGCUCUCUGGAAUGCAACUGACACUGAGGCACGAAAGUUGGGGGAGCAAACAGGAUUAGAUACCCUGGUAGUCCCAACCUUAAACGGUGCACACUUGGUGUAGGAGGAAUUGACCCCUUCUGUGCCGGAGCUAACGCGUUAAGUGUGCCGCCUGGGGAGUACGGUCGCAAGAUUA
This 374-nucleotide ribosomal RNA is filed under the name uncultured prokaryote. RNAcentral describes it as "bacterial SSU rRNA". It matches the Rfam family "Bacterial small subunit ribosomal RNA", at positions 524 to 896 of the family's 1533-position model. The record is from RNAcentral.